GGUUUCUCUUUCAUCUUGAUUUUCAAAUUUAUGCAGUAUCGAACUUGAUUUGAUUGCCUUUUUCAAGUUGUACGUGCACUAUGAUUUUCGUGUUUUGGUUCUGUUGUUAUAAUUGUUCAACUUGUUUAGGGUUUCUGGAGUGUAAUUUGAUUGGAGUCGAUUUUUUUUGCGUUUCCAGUGAUCUGAGACAUGAUUUUAGUUAAGAUAUGAUGUGCUUUGGAAUUGUUGUGAAUUGGAUGUGGUUACAAAAAUGGUAGAAUGCUAGUUUGUGGUGUGACUGUGAACUGAUGAGUUGUAAAAAGGUAUCACCUUUCAUACGAGAUUGUAGAUACGGUAUAGAAAUGAGAUUUCUUCUGUUCGCAAGAAUGGGUGUUGAAUUGUUCGUGUUUACACUGGUUUGGGAGUAAAAUUGCCAAGUCGGAAUAAAAUAACUUAUGGGGUUCUGUUGGAGUACAUCGAUGAAGAGUGUGAAGAGGAGAUAUGGGGGAGUAAUACAGGAAGAAAGGGAGAAGCAAGAGAGAUAGGAUGGGAUGGAUAGAUUGAUUUCCUUAAAUGUUUUAAGUCAAUUAAUAUAACAUGUAUCGUCAUGUACAGUGGCCAUCACUAGCAGAAUCAUCUUGAUUUCUUCUCUGCCAUGUUAGGGUUGUUUUAGAUAGUUGAGGAAAAUAGGGUCACUUGGAGAAAAUAACUGUUAUACGCGAUUACCAUAGGUAUUUGCUCAUCCAUUUAAAGGGAACGAGUGUGGGAUGAAAUUCUUGAAUUGUUGAAAACACUGCCUGAUAUCAUGAAAGGCAUAUAGAAAUUUUAUGAUGAUGAAUAAAAUUCGUGUAUGAUCUAAUAUCAUUAAGUAGAUUGGGAUUUUGGAAUUUUUGUAAACGGAGAAGCUUGUGUGUGGGUAAAAUAUAAAAGUCCUAGAGAUGUUAGAAGGAGAAGUAAGAGAGUAAUAGAGAUAAAUUAUGUCAUUUUGCUUGUUUUAGGGUAGUACAUUAUUUGGAAUCUUUGUUAUGUUAGUAUAUAGUAGUAUCUCAUAACCUCGAUGUUGGACAACCUGUAUGUUAUCAACAUAUCUGAAAAUUAAUUAGUGAUAAUUGACUGCAGUAAUGAUUAAAUAGUAGCUCUUAGUUACACUGAGGAAACAACACUGCUUUAUUGUAUCUACAUUUCAGACGAAAAAGUUGCUACUUGUUGUUACUCUAUGAAUGGGGUCGAGGUCGAAUAAUCACAUGCACCACAAAAGAAUAAGUCCCAUAACAUGUGAAUCAUUUUGUACUGACCCUGCAAAUUGGUUCAUAAACAUCCAUACUACUUCUUUCUAUAUAAAUAGGUCAGAAACAACAUAAAAGAUUGCCAAACGUACCAAAGAUAAGCCACUACAAUGUUAUCUACCACUCUUUCAAAGAUGUAUCUUCCACUCUUCAUCCUUUCCCUCCUUAUUUCGCUUUACUCGGCUAGCGCAGGGGACUUCUGCGUCGCAGAUUUGAGCCUUCCCGACGGACCAGCAGGGUACUCGUGCAAGAUCCCUGCUAAGGUCACAGCCGAUGAUUUUGUUUACCAUGGUUUAGCCGCUGCUGGCAAUACUAGCAACCUCAUCAAAGCUGCCGUGACACCAGCAUUCUCUGCUCAAUUCCCUGGUGUCCCUCCAUUCAAUUCAUUCAUUCUUAUCCUAUCUCUAUUACAGUGAAUAAUGAACCAACGGGAGUAGCUAGGUCAAACGUAGACCUCUGACUAUACACACUAUCGGCCAGAUUUAGCUAGCUAUAUUAUAGUGAUGCGGUACUUGGUGGUUAUUAGAAGGAAAAUGAAUAUGUACUUAUUAUAAGUAUUUGUGGUACUAAAACAAAUAUUUAUUAGUUGGGUUUGAUUAAGUACAUUAAUUUUUGUUAAUUACGAUUUGUCAUGUAUACUCUUAAUUUAAUUAGUUUUGGAAAUUAUAAUAUAGAUAUGCCAAUUAUUUUUGGCAUUUCAAGAGUA
This is a long non-coding RNA of Beta vulgaris subsp. vulgaris (sugar beet), 1971 nucleotides long. RefSeq lists it as uncharacterized. The transcript is spliced from 2 exons. Lineage: Eukaryota; Viridiplantae; Streptophyta; Magnoliopsida; Caryophyllales; Amaranthaceae. The record is from RefSeq and is a predicted model, not a curated record.